CACUCCUACGGGAGGCAGCAGUGGGGAAUUUUGGACAAUGGGCGAAAGCCUGAUCCAGCAAUGCCGCGUGCAGGAUGAAGGCCUUCGGGUUGUAAACUGCUUUUGUACGGAACGAAAAAGCUCCUUCUAAUACAGGGGGCCCAUGACGGUACCGUAAGAAUAAGCACCGGCUAACUACGUGCCAGCAGCCGCGGUAAUACGUAGGGUGCGAGCGUUAAUCGGAAUUACUGGGCGUAAAGCGUGCGCAGGCGGUUAUGUAAGACAGAUGUGAAAUCCCCGGGCUCAACCUGGGAACUGCAUUUGUGACUGCAUGGCUAGAGUACGGUAGAGGGGGAUGGAAUUCCGCGUGUAGCAGUGAAAUGCGUAGAUAUGCGGAGGAACACCGAUGGCGAAGGCAAUCCCCUGGACCUGUACUGACGCUCAUGCACGAAAGCGUGGGGAGCAAACAGGAUUAGAAACCCCGGUAGUCCCAUG
This 474-nucleotide ribosomal RNA is filed under the name uncultured organism. Its description in RNAcentral is "partial 16S ribosomal RNA". It matches the Rfam family "Bacterial small subunit ribosomal RNA", at positions 334 to 799 of the family's 1533-position model. The record is from RNAcentral.